RNAcentral lists this long non-coding RNA (1823 nucleotides) under Anas platyrhynchos platyrhynchos (common mallard). Its description in RNAcentral is "lncRNA (ENSAPLG00000024611.1)". The record is from RNAcentral. Lineage: Eukaryota; Metazoa; Chordata; Aves; Anseriformes; Anatidae.
ACCCUUUCAUAUUUUAUCUUAAGGCACCUUCAUCCUUUCUUAUUCCAUCAGUUUACUUAAACUACUUGAAUACACUGAAGGAAAAGCUGUGGUUUAAAUUGCACAAUAAAAAUUUAUUUUGCUUUGGUUUUAGGUCUUCAGGUUUUGUUCUUACUUUUACACUUUUACUGGAAACAGGAAAGCAGAUAGAAACUUAUCUGAAAUAUACAUAAUAUACAUACUCUUUAUACUAUUUUUUUUUCCAGAGCAGAGUGGAAACCGGUAGUAUUUGAAAUAUAAAGCAUGAAAAUUAGUCGUUUCAAAUAUACCUGAGUAACUUUGAAGAGAGAGUGACAGAGACCAAAAUUUAGGCUCCUAAUUUGGUCAGGUACUUUAUAGCACGCAAUAGUGUUGUGCUGUGUAUUUGGUCUAGACAUCAAAAAAUAAUUGACUCAGUCUGAGCUAAAAAAGUGUCCAUGUACUAAUUGCAUAUAAUUUUAACUUAUUUUAGAAAUAUGAUCAAGAUAGUGACUCUCCUUCACAUGAAAAAACACCAUGGCAUUUGACAUUUUGACAAAAUAGUCUUUUGUUGAAAAAAUGGGUAACUGUAGCCAAUUAGGGUCAGUGACUGCAGACAAACAUAAACAUGCUUCAAAGGUGCCCCUCAUUUCUCUAUUUCCUUGCACUGCCAGGAGCUUCUUUCACCUUCAGAGAGCCUUGCAGACACUCACCUGCCCUGGCAAAGCGACCAGACUGUCCCACCAAUCCCAGCCCAGCUGUACAGAAUAGGGGUUCAGGGUUUUGAGAGGAAGUACUAAAUGAGGACUUCACUGUGAUUUGAUUUAAAGACUUCUAAAGCAGUAUGACAUUUUUAGGCAAAAUGUUAUACUGAGGAUUAUUACUAAUAGUGACUUCAUGCAUGCAUUCAAAGACCUGCAGAUGACUGUUGAUCUUUUACAUCUGCUGGACGAUAACACCAAGUACAGUUUCUGCAUGCAGAUUUGUUUAGGGAUGUUCGGUAAUUUUAUGUAUGCAGACAGUGUGAUUCCUAUCUCUGGUUUACCAAUGGGUCUACAAAGCCUCUCAGAAAGAUUAAUUACAGCUCACAUCAAUUUUGGCCUCUAGAUGUCAUGUAAAGAACAUAACACCAAAGACAAAGCAAAAGAAUUUUGAUUAUGUCCAUCAGAGAAAGAAGGAAGAAUAACAGGUAGGUACUGGAAUUUUAAAAAGGGUUGGGUUUUCUGUUCACAUUUUUAAAAAUAACCAAAGUUCUUAAAAGUGGGAAGUAGGUAAAAAUAAGUUCAAUGGAAGAAAUGUUACUAAUUGAAGAACUACUUCUGUAAAUCAGCAAGAUUUGAGGAAAUAUUAAAUGAGGUUCAAGAACUCACAGAUGUCAUAUAACUGAUAUCCAAGGUUAAAAAUGGUACAGAAAAUACAAUAACUCUCAAAGAUGCAACAAAAAUACAGUUAUAUACCUGACCUUUUGCACCAAACUCUGUCUGCAGUUUCAAGCAUUUCUCAAAAUAUUUUUGAUACCACUCGCAAAAACAAUUUUCUAAAUAUAUUUGCAGUUUUAAACUGCACAGUAAAACAAAAAACAAACAAAAAAAACCCUUGCUCCAUAACAGCAUUUAUAUAAGGAUCUUAAAAUGCAUUAGUCUUGCAAGUAUCAUAUAAAAUAAGUUAACAGAAUUAUAUUCAUUUCUGCAGAUCAGUGAAUAGAAAGAAAGUUAUUGAAAUGCAGGUCACAACUGUAACUCCAAACUGAUAACAAGGCCAAAAUCCUUUCCCAUCAAAUUAGACAUUCAUUAUCAAAUAUUAAUAAAAAAUCUGACAGGAAAUCA